Long non-coding RNA from Talpa occidentalis (Iberian mole), 524 nucleotides. RefSeq lists it as uncharacterized. The record is from RefSeq and is a predicted model, not a curated record. The transcript is spliced from 3 exons. NCBI's taxonomy places the organism in Eukaryota, Metazoa, Chordata, Mammalia, Eulipotyphla, Talpidae.
AAAUGUACUUUUCCCAUCUGAGGUCAGCCUGAAGCCUGUUUACCUCAUUACCAAGCUAGAGUCUUUCAGAACAUUGUAGUAGGCACAAUUUGUGAACAGUUAGAUCUCUAUCCUGACUGAAUUUACAAGACCAUGAUCGCAGCAAAUUCGAGGGCAGAGCUGAGUAACUCUGAAUAAAACAUCUUCCAAAUAAGCACAGCUACCAGGACUUCUUAGGAGGAACUGUUCACAAGAUUAUCAGACCCUUGGUGGGAAAACAGUGUUUUCCAGAUCUAACACAGUGACUGACAAAUCAUGGCUGCUCAGGAUGCUUGUUAAAUGAAUGAGUAAAUAAAUCCAUAGAACCAACCUGUCUGGGGAUGUGCUACUGGAGUUUCCUGAAGGAGCUGAUGCCUGUUUUAAAUCAUAAAGGACAAGUAGGGAUUUACCCAGAAAAUGGAGAUUCCAGCUAGACAGCACAAUAUAAAUAAGAGCUUAAAACAUGGCCUGAUGUUCAUGGAAAACUGUAAGAAAUAGAAUGUUGC